RNAcentral lists this ribosomal RNA (253 nucleotides) under uncultured bacterium. RNAcentral's name for it is "partial 16S ribosomal RNA". It matches the Rfam family "Bacterial small subunit ribosomal RNA", at positions 524 to 776 of the family's 1533-position model. The record is from RNAcentral.
UACAGAGGGUGCAAGCGUUGUUCGGAAUUACUGGGCGUAAAGCGCGUGUAGGUGGCCAUGUAAGUCGGAUGUGAAAUCCCUCGGCUUAACCGAGGAAGUGCAUCCGAUACUGCGUGGCUUGAGUAUCGGAGGGGGUGGCGGAAUUCCCGGUGUAGAGGUGAAAUUCGUAGAUAUCGGGAGGAACACCUGUGGCGAAGGCGGCCACCUGGACGAUUACUGACACUGAGACGCGAAAGCGUGGGUAGCAAACAGG